ACAAGUACCGUGAGGGAAAGUUGCAAAGCACUUUGAAGAGAGAGUUAAAGAGGACGUGAAACCGGUAAGGUGGAAACGGAUAGAGUCGGCGUAUCAUUCAAUUAUUCAGUUACAUUAUUUUUAUGUUGUGACCUCUGAGCUCCAGAUUGGGACAGAGGGAAUCAGCAUAAUUUUUUGUGGUGCAUUUACUUGAUUGGUGCUUGGGGAUGUUUGAGGCAGAUUUGUUUCCGUCGUUUUGAGGCCAGCUUGCUGGUACCCAAACGGUGUUAGCAUUUUUUGUCUUGGGCAUUUGAGUAUGGCUCACGUGUAUUUAUUGGACAGAUCUGAGUGUAAGUUACGGUCGCAUGCGACACGUGCUUUUCAAUUAGUUCGGUCCAGUUAAUGCUCUCGUACUCGUUCCCCAUGUAAAAGCCGGUCAUCUAUCCGACCCGUCUUGAAACACGGACCAAGGAGUUUAUCGUGUGCGCAAGUUUUUGGGUGUUAAAAACUUAAAAGCGAAAUGAAAGUAAAUGACUCUUUAGAGUCUGAUGUGCGAUCUUGUAAAAAAGUGUAGCAUGGCCCCAUUCUAACUGUUUACAGUAGGGUGGCGGAAGAGCGUACGCGGUGAGACCCGAAAGAUGGUGAACUAUUCCUGAGCAGGACGAAGCCAGAGGAAACUCUGGUGGAAGUCCGAAGCGGUUCUGACGUGCAAAUCGAUCGUCUGACUUGGGUAUAGGGGCGAAAGACUAAUCGAACCAUCUAGUAGCUGGUUCCUCCGA
This 758-nucleotide ribosomal RNA is filed under the name Meloidogyne sp. WW-2014. RNAcentral's name for it is "eukaryotic LSU rRNA". It matches the Rfam family "Eukaryotic large subunit ribosomal RNA", at positions 344 to 964 of the family's 3401-position model. The record is from RNAcentral. Lineage: Eukaryota; Metazoa; Nematoda; Chromadorea; Rhabditida; Meloidogynidae.